Molecule: RNA transcript, 1473 nt
Organism: Malurus melanocephalus (red-backed fairy wren)
Lineage: Eukaryota; Metazoa; Chordata; Aves; Passeriformes; Maluridae
Gene: RAB20
Gene name: RAB20, member RAS oncogene family
Exons: 3
Source: RefSeq, a predicted model, not a curated record
GCCGGGGCCGGAUCGCGGCGGCUCCCGCGGAGCCCCCGAAGUUUGCGCUGCCGGUGGAGGCGGCUCUGGGCCCUCGUCCCGCCGCUUCCGGGGCCCCGCCGGGCGGAGCGGRSCGGGCCKGGCCGGGGAAGGGGGCGGGAGCGGCCGCCGGCGGGGAACCCAGCGGAGCCGCGAUGAAGAAGCCGGACGGGAAGGUGGUGCUGCUGGGGGACAUGAACGUGGGCAAAACCUCCUUGCUGCACCGCUACAUGGAGMGGCGCUUCCAGGAGACGGUCAGCACCGUCGGCGGCGCCUUCUACCUGAAGCAGUGGGGGCCGUACAACAUCUCCAUCUGGGAYACCGCGGGACGGGAGCAGUUCCACGGCCUUGGGUCUAUGUACUGCAGAGGAGCAGCUGCUGUGAUCCUCACGUAUGAUGUGAACAGCCUCCAAAGCCUGACAGAGCUGGAAGAAAGAUUCUUGGCACUGACGGACAGUGCAAGUGCUGACUGCAUUUUUGCUAUUGUUGGAAAUAAAGUCGACCUCAGYGAUGACUGCGCUUCGCCAUCGGAUGAAAAUAGACCCGAGAAGYCUGUUGCCAGCUGUGGUUCAAAGGUGCGAAAACAAGUCCGCGCAGAGGAUGCGAUUGCACUCUAUAAAAAGAUACUGAAAUACAAAAUGCUAGAUGAGAAGGAUGUUCCAGCAGCUGAGAAAAUGUGUUUUGAGACCAGUGCAAAAACAGGAUACAAGGUGGACUACCUCUUUGAAACUGUGUUUGACAUGGUAGUCCCCAUAAUUGUGCGGCAGAAGGCUGAGGGGCCACCGCAAACCGUAGACAUCACGGACUACAAGCCAGCCAAAAGGACAAAAUCAGGUUGUUGUGCCUGAACCAUUUACUUAACAUAAGAAAAGGGGAGGGAUUUUUCACUCCAGCAAAAUGAGGAGUAAGAACUGCUUGCAGUUCACCGGAAAGGAAAAGUCAAGGAACAAAUAGACUAAAAUGGUGUAUGCAAAAAACAAAGAACAAAUACAUCUUCUGAACAUUAAAAACUUCUGGGAAGCUCUGUGUAUAAAGARGUGGGAAUACAAGUGAAAUUAUGRAGUAAGACUUGCCAGUUUCAAUGGKCUCUGAAGGCAAAUGGCRUGUUAUURCAAUAGAUAGUGACAAUCAUGUGGACAGUUUUGAAAGCRUCUGAUUUUUAGUGACUUGCCAUUUCAUGUUGCAUGUUCAUGUUUGUGUACUCUUGACAACUUUCAUAUGAUUAUCUUCUUUUCCAUUACGAUUCUAACUUUGGAAGAUUGAACACAGUACCUUUUUAUUCUUAAGGAAAAAAAGAAAAUCCAGAAAUUACUUUUGUAGUUCCCUGGUUCCCCAGUAUGAUGCAUGGUUUUGGUGCUGCUGGCUCUAAAGCAGAACAGCCUUCCUAGUACCUAACAUCAAAUUUCAAACCCACUGCUGCACAAAAUGUGACACUGGAGACCAAAUACCAUAAGG